GAUGAACGCUGGCGGCGUGCCUAAUACAUGCAAGUCGAGCGAACAGACGAGGAGCUUGCUCCUCUGACGUUAGCGGCGGACGGGUGAGUAACACGUGGAUAACCUACCUAUAAGACUGGGAUAACUUCGGGAAACCGGAGCUAAUACCGGAUAAUAUAUUGAACCGCAUGGUUCAAUAGUGAAAGACGGUUUUGCUGUCACUUAUAGAUGGAUCCGCGCCGCAUUAGCUAGUUGGUAAGGUAACGGCUUACCACGGCAACGAUGCGUAGCCGACCUGAGAGGGGGAUCGGCGACCCUGGAACUGAGACAGGGUCCAGACUCCUACGGGAGGCAGCAGUAGGGAAUCGGCCGCAAUGGGCGAAAGCCUGACGGAGCAACGCCGCGUGAGUGAUGAAGGUCUUGGGAGCGUAAAACUCUGUUAUUAGGGAAGAACAAAUGUGUAAGUAACUAUGCACGUCUUGACGGUAACUAAUCAGAAAGCCACGGCUAACUACGUG
Molecule: ribosomal RNA, 497 nt
Filed under: uncultured bacterium
Lineage: Bacteria
Description: partial 16S ribosomal RNA
Rfam family: Bacterial small subunit ribosomal RNA
Source: RNAcentral